AAUUUGGGCACACAAUUGUACUUUGUAAAAGUUGUAUAAAAAAUAGUGUGUUCUUCAAUGUGUCCAAUUUAACAGCGAAUUUAAAUUCAGAGUGUCUAUAGUUAGGCAAUUAAAUAGAAAUCUGAAGACUCAUACCCUCUAUUGUUUGGAGUACAGUAAGCCACGAGUUACAGUUACAUAAACAACUGUUUUUAGUUGUGUAUAUUACAAGUUAAUAAAAUUUAGUUCUCUUUUAGUAAUACUAUUUAUAACAGCGUAAGCAUUUUUCAUAAAUCCCGGUUUUCUCAUAUUCUAGUAGUAAAUUUAUUUUAUAUUUUCUAUCUAUCAGGAAAAUGGGUACAGAAAAUCUGCAGACGCCUGCAAGAAUCGCAUAAAGAAUAUGAAGCAUUCUUAUAAAAAAAAUAAAGGACCACAACAAUAAAAGUGGGAGUGGCAAGAAAACUAGCAAGUUUUUUGACGCUAUGGAUAAAAUAUUAGGAACCAGACCCGCUACCCGUCCAACACAUAUUCUGGAGACAAGUAUUAAUUCAGAAACACAAGAUUUGGAUGAUUUUGAUGAUGAUGAUAAUGAUGAGGAACCAACAAGAGUCAAUUUGGAAAAUGAAGAAAAUGAGCCUACAGAAACCGUCCUCCGUAAACAGCCAGAAAAAAAAGGACCAGAAAAGAAAAAAAGAAACAGAGAGGAUAUAAUUCAACGUGUUCUGAAUGAGACAACAACCAGCUUUAUAAAUUGUCAAAGAGAACAAGAAAGAUCAUAUUUUGAAUUCGAAGAAAAAAGAAUGAGAAUGGAGGCAGAUUCAUAGAGACUUAGAAAAGAGCAGAGACGGGAGGAUCGACUUAGAGCUGAGGAACAACGACGCGAGGAUAGGGAAAGAGAUAGGCAACAUGAAUUAAGAUUAUGGAGUUUGUUUGCCAAUCAGGGAUUUCAGCAGCAUCAAUUUUCUCAACAACAAAAUGGACAUGUUCCGCAGCCACAAUUUUUACAAGGAGCUAAUGGACACACAUAUACAAAUUUAUAAAACCAUAUUAUUUUCAAGACCUAUCAUUUUGUGCCAAAAGUUCUGCUAUGUAGAGCAUUUAUUUUCAUUGAUAACAGUUAAUUUUUGUUUGUAGAAAUACAUAGUUUUAUUUAUCAUUCCAUUGUGCCAAGGCUAGAGUUUUAAUAAAUUAAUUUCCAUGUUUUAAUUAUUAAUAUCCAUAUCAUUUAACUUAAUGUAUCAUGAAGCUGAAUCAUAUUAUUUUCAAGAUAUACCAUUUUGUGCCAAAAUAUCUGACAUGUAGCGCAAUUAUUGUCAUUGAUAACAGUUUAUUUUUGUUUCUACAAAUACAUGAAUUUUAUUUGUCAUUCCAUUUUACCAUGGCUCAAGUUUUAAUAAAUUUAUUUCCAUGUUUUAAUUAUUAAUAUCCAUAUCAUUAUCAAAUGUGUCAUGAAGCUGAUAUAUGUACUUGGUUGUGAAAGUUAACUGUAGUUGUAACACGUUUUAUGUGAUUUCAGUUUUUAUGAAUUUAAAUUACCAGUAUGAGAUUAAUUGUUUCAAUGGCAUUUAGCAAUUGAACUGGGAAUACACAGGACAAUCCUUGUUUAUAUCUAAAGCAAAGUUUUGACUUGGCUUCUUAUCGUUAUCAAAUAAUGCGAAACGGUAUGAGGUGGGUGUUUUCUUCUUUGUAAGUCAAUUGAUAAGCCCCUAAUAAGAACAAAACAGUCUGUUAUGUUUUCAAAAAUGGUAAAUUCUCUUUUAUUUAAAUUGAUCAAUAACUUUAUAGUGUAGGCUUGUACAGUGGACUCGGAAUAUUCCGAAUUAUUAGACCAAUCUGGGGACCCCCGUUAAACGAUUUCUGUUGAAUUAACAUUGGAUAAUCCUGCCUUCAAUCAGUGGGUGUUAACCGACAAGCAAUCAAUUAUCGGUGAGCUUAAAGUAUGUGUCAGUCUUUGUUAAUAAAACCUUGAUAAUUUUAUAAUUUCUUGUAAGAGAGUGCUUGGUAUUUCAUUUGAUUUUUUCACGUCAAAUACAGCAACAUUAAAUAUAAAUUGCUGAGAUGAAGAAUCACUAUCAUUAUAAUAUUUUGUUCAUAACGACGCACAAGUGUUUUGUACGCACCCAAAGUAAAAACAUAAUAAUUUUAUAUAAUAAAGUUUCAAAUGUACAGAAAGGUUUAUCAUAUUUUUAAGUUCUGGGUAUUCGAAGGUGCAUUAAAAUAAUACUUUGGUAUUCGAGGUACAAUAAUACUUGCGGUUUUGAGACAAUUAAGUAUUCCGUCAUGGUGUAUAAUCCGGCAUUGUAUCGGUCCUGUACAAUGUUGAAAGUGAAAGAGUCCACUGUAUAUUUUUAAUUACAUACACUUCUUCAAUGAUGGACAACAAAGAUGACAAUUGGACCUCUUAUUAUAUAAUCCAACUCUGGCUUAAUGAGAUGCAUGGAUCAAAAAUCAAGAUGCCAAAAGGUGUCAAUUUAAAUUCUGUAUCCAAAUACCUUUAAAUUAGUAUGUGACUUAGAAAUAUGCUUGGAAUAUUUAAAUUUGAAUGUACCAUAAUAUUACUUUUAAGAAAGAAGAUAUUGAAAAUUUUGGAAACAAAUUGAACUCCAUAGCAACCAUUUGGCCAGAGCUGAUCACAUAUAUAGUUAUAAUAGACCCACUGUGUUAUAAGAUUAUCAGUUAUUUUUCUGUUGUAUGAUUUUUAUUAUGAAAAUAAACCAAUUUAGUUUGA
This is a long non-coding RNA of Patella vulgata (common limpet), 2707 nucleotides long. RefSeq lists it as uncharacterized. Lineage: Eukaryota; Metazoa; Mollusca; Gastropoda; Patellidae. The transcript is spliced from 3 exons. The record is from RefSeq and is a predicted model, not a curated record.